Non-coding RNA from Podarcis lilfordi (Lilford's wall lizard), 71 nucleotides. Lineage: Eukaryota; Metazoa; Chordata; Lepidosauria; Squamata; Lacertidae. The record is from the annotation of a GenBank genome assembly.
GGACAAUAGCUCAGUGGUAGAGCAUCUGCUUUGCAGGCAGGAGUUUCUAGGUUCAAUUCCCAGAAUCUCCA